RNAcentral lists this ribosomal RNA (230 nucleotides) under uncultured bacterium. RNAcentral describes it as "partial 16S ribosomal RNA". It matches the Rfam family "Bacterial small subunit ribosomal RNA", at positions 562 to 791 of the family's 1533-position model. The record is from RNAcentral.
AAAGCGUGCGCAGGCGGUUAUGUAAGACAGAGGUGAAAUCCCCGGGCUCAACCUGGGAACUGCCUUUGUGACUGCAUAGCUAGAGUACGGUAGAGGGGGAUGGAAUUCCGCGUGUAGCAGUGAAAUGCGUAGAUAUGUGGAGGAAUACCAAUGGCGAAGGCAGCCCCCUGGGAUAACACUGACGCUCAUGCACGAAAGCGUGGGGAGCAAACAGGAUUAGAUACCCGUGU